Chiloscyllium plagiosum (whitespotted bambooshark) is the source of this 301-nucleotide non-coding RNA. The record is from RefSeq and is a predicted model, not a curated record. NCBI's taxonomy places the organism in Eukaryota, Metazoa, Chordata, Chondrichthyes, Orectolobiformes, Hemiscylliidae.
CCACUACAGCAAAGAUUACACAUCCAUUGCAGAGUGAAAGUUUCAAUCCCGAUGCAAUUUCCUUCAUCACUGGAGCUGGGCAGAGUCGUGAAGAGAAGACCAAUCUUUUUCCUGGAUGAUAGCACCAGAACGAUAUCUCUUCAGAAUAUCCAGCUGACAAACUGAUCACAGCAAAGGUCAGUGUCACUAGCAUGACAGAGGGAACGGCAAGCAGUAACCCAAAAUGAACAAUCUUCCUUGCUCCAAAAGGGAAAACACUGGCACACAACUAGAUGGAGAGGCGCCAAGACCAGUGGGCAUU